AACGAACGCUGGCGGCAUGCCUAACACAUGCAAGUCGAACGAGACCUUCGGGUCUAGUGGCGCACGGGUGCGUAACGCGUGGGAACCUGCCCUUAGGUUCGGAAUAACUCCCCGAAAGGGGUGCUAAUACCGGUUAAUGUCUUCGGACCAAAGAUUUAUCGCCUUUGGAUGGGCCCGCGUUGGAUUAGCUAGUUGGUAGGGUAAAAGCCUACCAAGGCGACGAUCCAUAGCUGGUCUGAGAGGAUGAUCAGCCACACUGGGACUGAGACACGGCCCAGACUCCUACGGGAGGCAGCAGUAGGGUAUAUUGGACGAUGGGCGAAAGCCUGAUCCAGCAAUGCCGCGUGAGUGAUGAAGGCCUUAGGGUUGUAAAGCUCUUUUACCCGGGAUGAUAAUGACAGUACCGGGAGAAUAAGCUCCGGCUAACUCCGUG
RNAcentral lists this ribosomal RNA (433 nucleotides) under uncultured bacterium. RNAcentral's name for it is "partial 16S ribosomal RNA". It matches the Rfam family "Bacterial small subunit ribosomal RNA", at positions 29 to 507 of the family's 1533-position model. The record is from RNAcentral.